This 497-nucleotide ribosomal RNA is filed under the name uncultured bacterium. RNAcentral describes it as "partial 16S ribosomal RNA". It matches the Rfam family "Bacterial small subunit ribosomal RNA", at positions 28 to 507 of the family's 1533-position model. The record is from RNAcentral.
GACGAACGCUGGCGGCGUGCCUAAUACAUGCAAGUCGAGCGAACGGACGAGAAGCUUGCUUCUCUGAUGUUAGCGGCGGACGGGUGAGUAACACGUGGAUAACCUACCUAUAAGACUGGGAUAACUUCGGGAAACCGGAGCUAAUACCGGAUAAUAUUUUGAACCGCAUGGUUCAAAAGUGAAAGACGGUCUUGCUGUCACUUAUAGAUGGAUCCGCGCUGCAUUAGCUAGUUGGUAAGGUAACGGCUUACCAAGGCAACGAUGCAUAGCCGACCUGAGAGGGUGAUCGGCCACACUGGAACUGAGACACGGUCAAGACUCCUAAGGGAGGCAGCAGUAGGGAAUCUUACGCAAUGGGCGAAAGCCUGACGGAGCAACGCCGCGUGAGUGAUGAAGGUCUUCGGAUCGUAAAACUCUGUUAUUAGGGAAGAACAUAUGUGUAAGUAACUGUGCACAUCUUGACGGUACCUAAUCAGAAAGCCACGGCUAACUACGUG